Suncus etruscus (white-toothed pygmy shrew) is the source of this 172-nucleotide long non-coding RNA. RefSeq lists it as uncharacterized. The transcript is spliced from 3 exons. The record is from RefSeq and is a predicted model, not a curated record. NCBI's taxonomy places the organism in Eukaryota, Metazoa, Chordata, Mammalia, Eulipotyphla, Soricidae.
ACAGAGAGCAGGUGUGACUGGCGACUCUCACCCUGUGCCUUGUGGGGAAGCACCUUGAUCCAAAACCCAGCUCCAUAUCAAUCUGUUUUUCUAUUUUAAGAGGCCCAGAGGAUAGACCAAUCGCAGAGGAACAACAACUUUGCUGAACUGCUCGAUCACAGUUGACAUUUUG